ACGGAAGCAUUAGAAUGAAUACUUUCAAGAGCUGACACAGCUAUGGACAAGCUGCUUGCAUUUACAAAAUUCAAGCCGUCAAAGUUUUGAGAAAAAAGAAUGAGACAGAUUAACGAGGAUGAGUGGAAAUUCCCGUUGACCGGUGGCAUAGGCUUGGACAGGACAGGAUGAAAUCUGUCGGCUAGAAGACUUGCCGUGCUUCGCAAGCAUUCGUAAGGAUUUUACGCGACUUAAAGACGGAUGGAAAACCAUGUACGACAGCUUGGAUGCUCAGCACAAGGAUUUUCCUGCAGAGUGGCAAGCAAAGUUGGGUGAAUUCCAACGGAUGCUCAUCAUUCACUGUCUGAGACCUGAGAAGGUACGUACAAGGCUACCGUCUUAUUUAAAAAAAAAAACAAAAAACACGUGUAUUUUAGAAACAAAAAACAUUU
This is a long non-coding RNA of Tympanuchus pallidicinctus (lesser prairie-chicken), 431 nucleotides long. RefSeq lists it as uncharacterized. The record is from RefSeq and is a predicted model, not a curated record. The transcript is spliced from 3 exons. NCBI's taxonomy places the organism in Eukaryota, Metazoa, Chordata, Aves, Galliformes, Phasianidae.